GACGAACGCUGGCGGCGUGCCUAACACAUGCAAGUCGAACGGGACUUAGUGGAAAGCGGCUUCGGCCAAUGGAAGCUAAGUUUAGUGGCGAACGGGUGAGUAACGCGUGAGAAACCUGCCUUUCAGUGGGGGACAACAGUUGGAAACGACUGCUAAUACCGCAUAAUGUAUCCGGGGGGCAUCCUCUGGAUACCAAAGCUUAAUGUGCUGAAAGAUGGUCUCGCGUCUGAUUAGCUAGAUGGCGGGGUAACGGCCCACCAUGGCGACGAUCGGUAGCCGGACUGAGAGGUUGAUCGGCCACAUUGGGACUGAGACACGGCCCAGACUCCUACGGGAGGCAGCAGUGAGGGAUAUUGGGCAAUGGGGGCAACCCUGACCCAGCAAUGCCGCGUGAAGGAAGACGGUUUUCGGAUUGUAAACUUCUUUUAAGAGGGACGAUGAUGACGGUACCUCUUGAAUAAGCCACGGCUAACUACGUGCCAGCAGCCGCGG
RNAcentral lists this ribosomal RNA (492 nucleotides) under uncultured bacterium. RNAcentral describes it as "bacterial SSU rRNA". It matches the Rfam family "Bacterial small subunit ribosomal RNA", at positions 28 to 520 of the family's 1533-position model. The record is from RNAcentral.